UACAGAGGGGGCAAGCGUUAUUCGGAAUUACUGGGCGUAAAGGGCUCGUAGGCGGCCAACUAAGUCAGACGUGAAAUCCCUCGGCUUAACCGGGGAACUGCGUCUGAUACUGGAUGGCUUGAGUUUGGGAGAGGGAUGCGGAAUUCCAGGUGUAGCGGUGAAAUGCGUAGAUAUCUGGAGGAACACCGGUGGCGAAGGCGGCAUCCUGGACCGACACUGACACUGAGGAGCGAAAGCCAGGGGAGCAAACGGG
This 253-nucleotide ribosomal RNA is filed under the name uncultured bacterium. RNAcentral's name for it is "partial 16S ribosomal RNA". It matches the Rfam family "Bacterial small subunit ribosomal RNA", at positions 524 to 776 of the family's 1533-position model. The record is from RNAcentral.